This 334-nucleotide ribosomal RNA is filed under the name uncultured eukaryote. RNAcentral's name for it is "partial 18S ribosomal RNA". It matches the Rfam family "Eukaryotic small subunit ribosomal RNA", at positions 1470 to 1796 of the family's 1831-position model. The record is from RNAcentral.
UCCUUAGAUGUCCGGGGCCGCACGCGCGCUACACUGAAGGAAUCAGCGUGGAUGCCUCCCUGGUCCGAAAGGAUUGGGAAACCCGUUGAAUCUCCUUCGUGCUAGGGAUUGGGGCUUGUAAUUCUUCCCCAUGGACGAGGAAUUCCCAGUAAGCGCGAGUCAUAAGCUCGCGUUGAUUACGUCCCUGCCCUUUGUACACACCGCCCGUCGCUACUACCGAUUGAACGGUUUAGUGAGGGCCUCGGAUUGGUCUCGGCCCGCUCUUUACCGGGCGGCGCCGUUGGUCGAGAAGACGCUCGAACUUGAUCGUUUAGAGGAAGUAAAAGUCGUAACA